RNAcentral lists this ribosomal RNA (310 nucleotides) under Salmonella enterica. RNAcentral describes it as "partial 23S ribosomal RNA". It matches the Rfam family "Bacterial large subunit ribosomal RNA", at positions 911 to 1220 of the family's 2925-position model. Lineage: Bacteria; Pseudomonadati; Pseudomonadota; Gammaproteobacteria; Enterobacterales; Enterobacteriaceae. The record is from RNAcentral. RNAcentral also lists the same sequence under 1 other name.
UGUUUCGGCUAGGGGGCCAUCCCGGCUUACCAACCCGAUGCAAACUGCGAAUACCGGAGAAUGUUAUCACGGGAGACACACGGCGGGUGCUAACGUCCGUCGUGAAGAGGGAAACAACCCAGACCGCCAGCUAAGGUCCCAAAGUCAUGGUUAAGUGGGAAACGAUGUGGGAAGGCCCAGACAGCCAGGAUGUUGGCUUAGAAGCAGCCAUCAUUUAAAGAAAGCGUAAUAGCUCACUGGUCGAGUCGGCCUGCGCGGAAGAUGUAACGGGGCUAAACCAUGCACCGAAGCUGCGGCAGCGACGCUGAUG